GAUGAACGCUGGCGGCGUGCCUAAUACAUGCAAGUCGAGCGAACAGACAAGGAGCUUGCUCCUCUGACGUUAGCGGCGGACGGGUGAGUAACACGUGGGUAACCUACCUAUAAGACUGGGAUAACUUCGGGAAACCGGAGCUAAUACCGGAUAAUAUUUCGAACCGCAUGGUUCAAUAGUGAAAGAUGGUUUUGCUGUCACUUAUAGAUGGAUCCGCGCCGCAUUAGCUAGUUGGUAAGGUAACGGCUUACCAAGGCGACGAUGCGUAGCCGACCUGAGAGGGUGAUCGGCCACACUGGAACUGAGACACGGUCCAGACUCCUACGGGAGGCAGCAGUAGGGAAUCUUCCGCAAUGGGCGAAAGCCUGACGGAGCAACGCCGCGUGAGUGAUGAAGGUCUUCGGAUCGUAAAACUCUGUUAUUAGGGAAGAACAAAUGUGUAAGUAACUAUGCACGUCUUGACGGUACCUAAUCAGAAAGCCACGGCUAACUACGUG
Molecule: ribosomal RNA, 497 nt
Filed under: uncultured bacterium
Lineage: Bacteria
Description: partial 16S ribosomal RNA
Rfam family: Bacterial small subunit ribosomal RNA
Source: RNAcentral